GAUCAGGCGAAGGGACAAGGCCCCUCAGCGGCACCUCUACACUCCUGUGCAACCCCGCAAAAGCGAGGGGAGGGCCCUCACUCUGAGAAGAGGAGGGAUAUUAAGGAGGAAGAGCGGCGAGCUACGGUAGAAACAGAUAAAGAACGAACCACACCAAAGACCUAAAGAACCUCGUCUCAACAAAGACGGGGAGCUCCUACCAAACACCCCCGGUCUCUGAGAAAACUCUCGACAC
Molecule: long non-coding RNA, 235 nt
Filed under: Elaeis guineensis (African oil palm)
Lineage: Eukaryota; Viridiplantae; Streptophyta; Magnoliopsida; Arecales; Arecaceae
Description: long non-coding RNA (EGUI_LNC079642)
Source: RNAcentral